This 442-nucleotide ribosomal RNA is filed under the name uncultured bacterium. RNAcentral describes it as "partial 16S ribosomal RNA". It matches the Rfam family "Bacterial small subunit ribosomal RNA", at positions 338 to 795 of the family's 1533-position model. The record is from RNAcentral.
CCUACGGGAGGCAGCAGUGGGGGAUAUUGCACAAUGGGGGAAACCCUGAUGCAGCGACGCCGCGUGGGUGAAGAAGUAUUUCGGUAUGUAAAGCACUAUCAGCAGGGAAGAAGAAAUGACGGUACCUGAGUAAGAAGCACCGGCUAAAUACGUGCCAGCAGCCGCGGUAAUACGUAUGGUGCAAGCGGUAUCCGGAUUUACUGGGUGGAAAGGGAGCGCAGGCGGCACGGCAAGCCUGAUGUGAAAGCCCGCGGCCCAACCGCGGGACUGCAUUGGGAACUACCGGGCUGGAGUGCCGGAGAGGUAGGCGGAAUUCCUAGUGUAGCGGUGAAAUGCGUAGAUAUUAGGAGGAACACCAGUGGCGAAGGCGGCCUACUGGACGGUGACUGACGCUGAGGCUCGAAAGCGUGGGGAGCAAACAGGAUUAGAUACCCCAGUAGUC